Molecule: small nucleolar RNA, 92 nt
Filed under: Dichanthelium oligosanthes
Lineage: Eukaryota; Viridiplantae; Streptophyta; Magnoliopsida; Poales; Poaceae
Description: Small nucleolar RNA snoR31/Z110/Z27
Rfam family: Small nucleolar RNA snoR31/Z110/Z27
About the family: This family contains several related snoRNAs including R31, Z27 and Z110. Family members belong to the C/D class of snoRNAs which contain the C (UGAUGA) and D (CUGA) box motifs.
Source: Rfam by way of RNAcentral
UGUAUCAGAGGAUGAAACCUUGAAACAAUCUUAGGACACCUUCUGACACAGUUUCACUGUGAAUGAGAAGGCAAUUAUUUUCUGAUGAUACU